CUCUUCAUUAUGCGCACAAUUGCAGCAUCAAUAGCAUAUCUCCUGUCCUUAUCAACGUCUUCAACAACCUUCUUUCUUUCAUCUACUGGUGGGAGAGGAAUCUUGAUUCUCCUCAUUCUGUCGGUGAACUUGUGGUUGACUUCAAAGUAGUCUGUUUGGGAAAUGGUCUUUGUAUUUGGUUCCUUUAUAAGGAUCUUAUGCUUGGCACAAGACAAGGAAUGAAGCACUCUGACCAAGUCAUCAUGGGUCAAGUUUAAAUGAGUGACAAUCUCAGAAUAACUGAGUCUAUCUGAAGAAUUAAAAAGCAGCAGGAGAGCAGCCUGGUAGGUUGACACAAUCAGCUCAAUAGUUUUUUGCUCAAACUUGCCAUUGAGAUGGCAAGACCCCAAUGAAUAGAUCCAUGUUAGCUUCCGGUGCUUGCUUUUUUUAUCAUAGAAUUCCUUGAAAAUUUCAACACCCCUGACCAUCUCUGCUGGAAGAUUGAGAUCAGAGGAUUUAUAGCUGGGCCAAAAUCCAGUUGUAAGAACAGUAACUGUUAAAUCAAUCCCAGGAUGUGCAUUCGGGUUAUUGCCAAGAUAUUUCUCAAAGCUUGUCUGAUUUUCCCUUGCCAGCGUCAAAUCAGUAACCAUCCCCUCCAUCUUUGAAGUGAACUGCCCACCACACUGCUGCUUCAGUUUUGUAAGAAUACUCCUUUCAUGAUCAUCAUUAGCACUCCGGUCAAAAAGAAGACGCCGAGCAAGCUUCUUUCUGUAGAAUUCAGCAAAAAGGUCCUUAUCACUGAUAUACGCCAGCAAUUUCACUACCUUUUCCAGCAUUUCUUCUAUGGCUUCAUCGCUCAGUUUCUCACUUCCACCCUUCUUGAGGAUAUUAUCACAAAAAGUUGCCAGUAGUUCUGCGCUUGAACUGCCAGCAACUGUUUUAUUACAGAAUAUCUCAAAAGCCUCUUUCAUGGCCUUGUGAAAGAGGGUGUGAUUUUGAAAACAAUCAUUCACGUAUGCCAUAUAUUUGUCAUGCAGCUCAAUUAUUUUUCUCACAAGAACCUGUUCCUGUACACCACCAUUCACAGCCAGGCUACUUGCAGCAUCUUCAGCUUGCUGGACCAAAACUGUCCCUUCAGCAGUAAUAUGCUGCUUGAAAAUAUUAGCAACAGGUUCCAAGCCUUUGGAUAUUUUAUGGUAAAGCCGAUACAUUCUUGAAAGAUCCUCCACCUUAUCAUCUUGAAGCAAUGCACGACAUCCAGAAUGCUCCUUUUCAAGCAGUUGGUUUGCAUAGACUACCAACAACUCAUGUUCUCUACUAACUUUGGCUCACUGCUUGAAUGCAAAUAAUGAGAAACUCUAUCCCUCUCCUUCUUCAAGCAUUCCUCCGCCUUCAACAUGUAGUCUGGACAAGAAUCCUCCAAAAACCAGUUUGAUGCCUUACGAGAAUAGUAAGCACCAGUAUCUUGAAGCAUGCGUGCUUCAAAAUCUUGUUCAUAACGAUCCAUUGUACCCAUUCCAAUCUCAACAAAUAUAUCUAAAACAUUCUUCAACAAUGCCCUGUCAAUCUGCUCU
This 1553-nucleotide unclassified non-coding RNA is filed under the name Hevea brasiliensis (rubber tree). Lineage: Eukaryota; Viridiplantae; Streptophyta; Magnoliopsida; Malpighiales; Euphorbiaceae. The record is from RNAcentral.